Molecule: ribosomal RNA, 386 nt
Filed under: uncultured bacterium
Lineage: Bacteria
Description: bacterial SSU rRNA
Rfam family: Bacterial small subunit ribosomal RNA
Source: RNAcentral
AAUCAACGCUGGCGGCGUGCCUCAGACAUGCAAGUCGAACGCGAAAGUUCCCUUCGGGGGCGAGUAGAGUGGCGCACGGGUGAGUAACACGUAGGUAAUCUACCUUUGGGUGGGGAAUAACAGCCGGAAACGGCUGCUAAUACCGCAUAAAUGCAGCGGCUCGACAUCGAGACAGUUGUUAAAGCGGGGGAUCGCAAGACCUCGCGCCUAAAGAGGAGCCUGCGGCGGAUUAGCUUGUUGGUGAGGUAAUGGCUCACCAAGGCAUCGAUCCGUAGCCGGCCUGAGAGGGCGGUCGGCCACACUGACACUGACAUACGGGUCAGACUCCUACGGGAGGCAGCAGUCGGGAAUUUUGGCAAUGGCGCAAGCCUGACCCAGCAACGCCG